Molecule: ribosomal RNA, 552 nt
Filed under: uncultured Tomentella
Lineage: Eukaryota; Fungi; Basidiomycota; Agaricomycetes; Thelephorales; Thelephoraceae
Description: eukaryotic LSU rRNA
Rfam family: 5.8S ribosomal RNA (bases 148-302)
Source: RNAcentral
UUGUUUACACAUCCACUCACACCUGUGCACCCUCCGUAGUUCCAUGGCCUGGGUGGGCUCUGUCCUCCUGGCGUGGUUCUACGUCUUUACACACACACUACAACAAAGUCUUAUGGAAUGUAUGUCGCGUUUAACGCAAUGAAAUACAACUUUCAGCAACGGAUCUCUUGGCUCUCGCAUCGAUGAAGAACGCAGCGAAAUGCGAUAAGUAAUGUGAAUUGCAGAAUUCAGUGAAUCAUCGAAUCUUUGAACGCACCUUGCGCCCUUUGGCUAUUCCGAAGGGCAUGCCUGUUUGAGUAUCAUGAACACCUCAACUCUCAUGGCUUGCCAUGAUGAGCUUGGACUUUGGGGGUCUUGUUGGCCUGUGAGCCAGCUCCUCUUAAAUGAAUUAGCUUGCCGGUGUUUGGUGGCGUCACAGGUGUGAUAACUAUCUACGCUUGUGGUUUCCCACCAGGUAACCUUCAGCAAUGGAGGUUCGCCGGAGCUUAUAAAUGUCUCUCCUCGGUGAGGACACAUUUUGACCAUUUGAUCUCAAAUCACGUAGGACUACCC